UGCUCCUACGGGACGCAGCAGUGGGGAAUAUUGCACAAUGGGGGGAACCCUGAUGCAGCGACGCCGCGUGGGCGAGGAAGUAUUUCGGUAUGUAAAGCCCUAUCGGCAGGGAAGAAGAAAUGACGGUACCUGAAUAAGAAGCACCGGCUAAAUACGUGCCAGCAGCCGCGGUAAUACGUAUGGUGCAAGCGUUAUCCGGAUUUACUGGGCGUAAAGGGAGCGCAGGCGGCGCGCCAAGUCUGAUUUUCAACCCCGGGGCUCAACCCCGGGCAUGCAUUGGAUACUGGCGGGCUUGAG
This 297-nucleotide ribosomal RNA is filed under the name uncultured bacterium. RNAcentral's name for it is "partial 16S ribosomal RNA". It matches the Rfam family "Bacterial small subunit ribosomal RNA", at positions 334 to 646 of the family's 1533-position model. The record is from RNAcentral.